RNAcentral lists this long non-coding RNA (1517 nucleotides) under Piliocolobus tephrosceles (Ugandan red Colobus). RNAcentral describes it as "lncRNA (ENSPTEG00000026347.1)". Lineage: Eukaryota; Metazoa; Chordata; Mammalia; Primates; Cercopithecidae. The record is from RNAcentral.
GUGUGGGCAGAGACAGGUGUGUUGCAGACCCUCCAACAUUUCUGCUUGCAGGUAAAACCUGCAUGUGUGAGGAAUGCAUGGCAUCUAAUGUCAGUCCUCCCUUCAGUUGCUGUCACUUGAAAGAAAUUGUAUGUGUUUGUUUAACAAACAUAAAUUAAGUGCCUACUGUGUACCCACACUUCUAGAUCCUGCAGUUGCUGCCGCCACAGCUGUGAUUAGGGCAAGUCUCAGCUCCCUGGAGUGAGUGCUCCUGUGGGCCAUCAGGUGACGUGGGGACAGAUGCCACAGAGGAGUGCAGAGGAGGGACCAGGGAGCGCUGUGGGAUCCAGGCUCUCUGAGAAGGUGAUGCGUGAGCCGAGGCCCAGGGUUGGGGUGGGGUGGUGCCUGGGUGAGUGGAUCAGGUAGGGAGGCAGCGGGCUGGCGUGAGAAUGAGGCAGGAGGCCCAGCCGUGGGGAACUGGAGAUCCUGCCUGUUUGAGAUGGAAGCCACUGAACAGAUGAGGACUGCAGUUUGGAGUCAGAGGAGGAUGGUUUACUGCCUCUGAUUGGCACACAGCCGCCGGUGUGUGUGCGUUGUGUGUGUGCAAUGGUGAGGCCACUGUGCACCCGGGUGGCUGGCUUCUCAUGGGUUAAACACAAACUCACCACACCAGUCAGCACUCACGUCUUUACCCUGGAUCCUUUUCUAGAAAGGAUCUGAAAAGUAAACAUUUUAGACUUUGAGGGCCACAGUCCCUGUUCCUGUCCCUGUUCCUCUCUGUGGUUGUCCCGCCAGACACACACCAUGAAGUUACAAAGGCAGGCGGUGGAUGAAUGUGGCCUGGGGACUAUUUGCCAACCUAGCCCCAGAAAAUAAAACUUAUGUUUGUGUAAAUAUCUAUACACAGGUAUUUCUACCCAGGCGUAAUCACCAAGUGCUGGAAGCGACACAAGCGUCCUUCGAUGGUGAGUGGAUGGCAAGGGCCCCCAGGAGACCACAGGAAAGUCACGUAGAGAAGGCAUUAGCCAAGCAAAGUUCUUCCUCCUGCUGAGGGAACAGAUCCCGUGUGACCUUCACGCCUUCAUGGAUUGGAAACUGCUAAUGUGUGUUCCUUUUGAAAUAUGCAAGAUGCUGGGCGUGAUUAAACUGAGGGAAGGUUAAGGUGAGUUACUCCUUUGUUUAAACUUUGGCUUCUUGGGUAGUCUUAUUAAGGGGGGAUUUAAAGUGCUUAAAAAUUCAAUAGGACAAAGGGCAUAUUGUGGUUCAAGACUGAUGUAUUGCCAUACAGGAUGCGAUCUGUUCCAAGGGCCAUAAAGCAGUCAAGGGAGCUCGCUGUGGUUGGAGCCGGCCAAUUAUAACACCUCCUGAAGUCACAGGGAUGCAAUCUGCACGCUCCUGCAGGCUCCUGGGAUGGCUUGGCUGGCAGCUUGGACAGCUGGGCUCCUCCAGGCACUUCCGAGCCCCCUUCCGUCCUGUCAGGGUCAUCCUAGCCAUUCCCCUGUGGCUGUCUCCCUAGCCAGUGGCUAAAGUCACCUGCA